RNAcentral lists this long non-coding RNA (3934 nucleotides) under Sus scrofa (pig). RNAcentral describes it as "lncRNA (ENSSSCG00065030534.1)". Lineage: Eukaryota; Metazoa; Chordata; Mammalia; Artiodactyla; Suidae. The record is from RNAcentral.
AGUCCAGCGGCAGGGGCCACCAGCGCAGGCUCUCCUCCUCACAGAAGCCGGGAGCUGGUCAUCCAAGAAGAAGCAGCCUCGUUUGUUUCGGGUGUCAUCGUAGGUGUCCACCUUUGGCUUUGGGGAUCUCAAAACAUUUAAACUUGAGGAAGUUCCUACUUUUCCAGCUUUGGAGUCAAGGAGGGCCUCUUGAAACCUGAGGAAGCAGUAUCUGAAGCCUGAGGAGAGGAGGAGCAGACCCUGGGAAAGCUGUUAAGGGAAGAGGCUGGAGUCCACGUGGCAGAAUAACCAUUGUGUUUUUCUCCCUAAUACAUCUUACCAUGUAUUGCCAUGUAUUGCUUCUUGCCUGGGACAGGUGGGUGCUCCACCUCCCUUCCCCUCCCUUUCCUCCUCAAGGGCACCAGAGCCGUAUCCAGAACCAUGGACAGCUCCCAGGCGAGCCCAAAAGAGUGGGAAAGAUGUGACCAAAGUCACUCAGCGGGUUAAUGGAAAGGCCAAGAUCCAGGCUUCUAAUUUCCAGCUUCUUAAGGAGUCUCCUUGCCUGAAUUGGUUGGAACAGGCAUAUUGCUGGUAGGAGAGUUCAAGGUUGCCUCCAUACCAAAAAGGACAGGAUGCAUGUCUGGACAUAUGAGGUGUGCACACAAGCCAGGGAGAGGUGGAACUGACUGCUAUCUCUGUCUGGAGAAGUUUGAAGGGGUCGCCUCAGGGAGAAGCACAGGGUAAGGCAUACCUAACAGUAGCUGGCAAGCCCAUGGGAGAAAAGGCAAGGAGGCAACCAUCUGCCAGGGCAAAGAGGCCAGUAGAUGGCCACAAUGAGUCUCCAGAGGCCAGCAAGAGUCACACAAACUGGAACAGGGCCUGGGAAAGGCCCUUCUGUGUGCCCAGUCCUGCUCCCCCAACACCGCAAGCCUAGAAACAAAGGGGCCAUUCUCUGUAGGAUUUGAUGCCGCAAUCUCCGGCUGGCAGUGCCAGGUGGUGGGGGCAUCAGGGGGUGUCAACCCAUUAUGCCCCCCCCCACCUCUCUAGGUCCUCUGGGGCUGGAUGUUGUGGAGGUGGGUGUUCCAUGCCAUGUUGCCAUGGCAACCACCCCAACCCCCACUUUCCAAAGCACAAAGAGAGACAGCUCUCACCCCCACCCCCAGGAAGAAUCUGGGUCUGGUUGGGAAUCUUCCCUUGGGAAUCCUCCUUUCUGAUGCACAAGCCAUGGCAUGUAUCACCCUCUUUUCAGCACCCGGAGCUGAAGGUUCAGCCAUUGGCAGACCAUACAGGCAGGGAGGUUGGUACAUCCAGAGUCUCUGGGCAAGGUUGUGCCAGUGAGUCCCUUAUACUUAACCCUCUCCCCGCCUCCCAAGCUCUCCUGUCCCUCACCUAUAGCCAAGGCCAUCCUAUGCCUUUUCAGCUGAAGCGAGGAGGUCUUGACCUUCUGCUCUUUCCCAGAAGUGAAGGACACCUCACUACUCCCAGCAAGCUUCCAGGCUGUGGGAAGAGAAGAGAGGGCCAUUCCUGCCACCCUUCAUCUGCACCCUCCGCCAUUACUCAUUAGGCAUUCUGCCCCCUCCUUCCGCUCGUUAAGCCUGAUUUGCAUAUAUUUGCAUAAUACAACUCAUUUGCAUUCCAGGAGGCUCUUGGUAGGAGCCAGGAAAAAAGGGGAGGGGGGUUAGAGAAGAGAAAAAAGGGGAGAGAUUUUGUUUGCAUCAAAGUGUGUGUGGUGGGGGGGUGGCAGGAAGAAGAUAGAAAUAAAAACUCACACUACUUUCUUUCUUCCCUUCUGCCCUCCCUCCCUUAGCUGGACUCAGAUGCCAAAGAGAGAUGCCAAGGGGCCUGCUUUUUUAUCCUUUUUUGUCUUGCUUCCUCCGGCCUUGGCUCCCCAGCCUGGCCCCCCACCUUGCUGGGCUCAGGCUUCAGAAAAAAAGGGACAGGGGUAGGAGGCAAGGCUGUGGGAACGGAAGCGGAGGGAGAGGGAGGCCACUAUCUUAGGUAGCCGGUGCCUGGAAAAGGGCCUCCUGCAUCAGGUGUGGGCUGCCAGCCAGCCCGGGGUCAGUGGCCGUGGCGGGAGGUGAGGCCCUGAGGAGGGGUUUCCAGCUGAUCAGGACCAUUGCUGAGUCUUCCUACUAGCAGAACUGGGGGAAAAGGAUGGAGAGAGAAGGGAGGAGGGAGAGAUGGGGGAUGGUGGCCCCAGAAGAGACAUGAGCCACAUUUAGGAGUAGGUGUUGUGGGAGGACUUCUGCCUGAGGUUUGGUUCCAGACCCCUCAUGAGUUCCAGUGUCAGAAGACUUGGAGCACUAUGCAUAAUAUUAAAAAAAAAAACAAACUGGAGGAAUUAGACCUGGGUGUAUCAGCAGGAAGGGGAGAGGAUAAAGAGUGAGCAGGCAAGAUGAUCCAUCAGUUUGAGGGUUUCUCUGGGACCUGGGAAGGGCCCCUAUGAACUUGAGGUGACAUUCCAAGUCUUCUCUCCUCAGCUCACCCUUCUGGCCUCCAUCUUUAUAGCUGGUGAGACCUGUGCCCCCUCCAGCCCCUCACUCAGCCUCCUCAACCAGACCCAGUGUCCCUUACUCAAGCCUGGUGACCUCUGAGGAGUAUUUCAUACUGAGCCAUCCCAUCUUCUUUGGCCUUUGGUUCUUCUCUUACAGCUGAUUAUUCAUUCUGGAUUCUAUUCAAUCAGUCUUCUGGACUGACUCCAUUCAGUCUCCAUUCAGAAGUGUUCCCCAGGUUCUGCUAACAGUUUUUUUUUUUUUCCUUCUUUCCACUCACAUUCUUUCACUUUUAUCAUUUCAGUAUCACUAAGAUUUCUCUAAACUCCAGAUUUGUACCCUAACGACUAUCUGGGUCCAUUAGCUCCCAGAUCAGACUGGAAUGGCGCAUCUGAUUGGCUAAGCCUGGAGCACGUGAGCAGGCCCUAGCUGCAAGGUAGCCUGAGAAAAGUGCCUGUGCUUUUGGCUUCUGUGGUGUCAUAUAAGUACAAUCCCCUCCAAAAUUCAUGAGAUGGCUGUUCCCCAGACAUAGGGAGGGCCUUCAGAUGCUCACUUAUUUGGCAUUGAGUGUGCUUCAAAUCUUGCCCUAUGUUCCUGCUUCCCUAUCCCUCUCAACAGCAUCAUUAAAAUUCUAGGUCCUCAAGUGCAAAUCCUGAGCAUUAUCCUGGAUUUACCCUCUUCUCUCCCCUCAUCCAGAUCAGUCACAUCAGAACCCAUCACAUUGCAGUGCUUCUCACAUCUGUGCCUUCCUUUCCCUUAUCCCUAGUUCCAUUAUCGUCUCAUUCCUUCAACAGACGUUUAUUGGGCUGGGCACCUACUGUGUGCCAGGUGCUGUGCUGAAGAGGAUGGUGGAAUACAAAGCUGCUUUAAGGGCCUAGAAGCCUAGUGGGGGAGGCAGACAGGAAUAACUACAAGACAGUGUGAAAGCUGCUGUCUUGAAGACCUGUGCAAGGUAUGUGGCAGCAUGGGGGCCAGAGCCCUGAGCUCCCUCAGGGGAGUUAUGGAAGGCUUUCUGCAGGGGGCCAAAAGAUAAGUGUUAAAAGAUAAAGGGAUAAAAUUGAUGAAAGGUAAGCAGGGGACUGCCAGUCUAAGGAGUCUGAGAAGUGUGUGGUGGGGAGUAGACAGCAUAUCCGAAGGCAAGGAGGUAGGAAAGCAGGGUGUGAUAGGGACUAGAGUGUCAUCAAUGGGAGUCCGGGUGAGGAGGAGAUGGAGGCCAAAGUUCAGUUAUUAAGAGCCUAUGUGGAGUUCCUGUCAUGGCUCAGCGGAAAUGAGUCUGACUAGGAUCCAUGAGGACACAGUUCUAUCCCUGGCCUCGCUCAGUGGGUUAAGGAUCUGGGUGUUGCUGUGGCUGUGGUGUAGGCUGGCAGCUGUAGCUCUGACUGGACCCCUAGCCUGGGAACCUCCAUAUGCCACAAGUGCGGCCCUAAAAGGACAAAAAAAAAAAAAAAAAAAAAAAAAAAAAA